GUGCUAAGGUAGCAUAAUCAUUUGUCUUUUAAAUGAAGACUAGAACAAAUGACUUAACAUUUCAAUUAAUAUCUUUAAUUCAUAAAUUAAAUUUUACAAAAAUGUAAAAAAUCAUUUUCUAAAAAGAAAGACRAUAAGACCCUAUUGAACUUUACUUCAGUUUUACUGGGGCAGUAAAUUAAUUAUUAUUUUAUUAAAUAAUAAAUUCAAAAAUAUCUAAAAUAUUUAAAUAAUUCAGUUACCAUAGGGAUAACAGCGCAAUAAUAUUUUAAAGACCUUAUUAAAAAUUUAGUUUACGACCUCGAUGUUGAAUUAAUAACCUAAUUAAAGCAAAAUUUAAACAAGGAAGUCUGUUCGACUUUUAAAAAAUUACAUGAUUUGAGUUCAGACCGGUGUAAGCCAGGUCGGUUUCAAUCUUCUAAAUCAAUAUUUUUUACAGUACGAAAGGACCUAAAAAAAUAAUAUUAUUAAUAUAAUUGGCAGAAAAUUGCAUUAGAAUUAGAAUCUAAUAAAACUUUA
RNAcentral lists this ribosomal RNA (519 nucleotides) under Heliophanus cupreus. RNAcentral's name for it is "partial 16S ribosomal RNA". The stretch from base 125 to 420 matches the Rfam family "Bacterial large subunit ribosomal RNA", at positions 2074 to 2646 of the family's 2925-position model. Lineage: Eukaryota; Metazoa; Arthropoda; Arachnida; Araneae; Salticidae. The record is from RNAcentral.